GAGGGUAUAGCUCAGUGGUAGAGUGCGUGCUUAGCAUGCAUGAGGUCCUGGAUUCAAUCUCCAGUACCGCCA
This 72-nucleotide transfer RNA is filed under the name Camelus bactrianus (Bactrian camel). It matches the Rfam family "tRNA". From Rfam's summary of the family: Transfer RNA (tRNA) molecules are approximately 80 nucleotides in length. Their secondary structure includes four short double-helical elements and three loops (D, anti-codon, and T loops). Further hydrogen bonds mediate the characteristic L-shaped molecular structure. tRNAs have two regions of fundamental functional importance: the anti-codon, which is responsible for specific mRNA codon recognition, and the 3' end, to which the tRNAs corresponding amino acid is attached (by aminoacyl-tRNA synthetases). tRNAs cope with the degeneracy of the genetic code in two manners: having more than one tRNA (with a specific anti-codon) for a particular amino acid; and 'wobble' base-pairing, i.e. permitting non-standard base-pairing at the 3rd anti-codon position. The record is from Rfam by way of RNAcentral. RNAcentral also lists the same sequence under 3 other names. Lineage: Eukaryota; Metazoa; Chordata; Mammalia; Artiodactyla; Camelidae.